RNAcentral lists this non-coding RNA (80 nucleotides) under Bacteroidota bacterium. Its description in RNAcentral is "Bacteroidetes bacterium c-di-GMP-II sequence". It matches the Rfam family "Cyclic di-GMP-II riboswitch aptamer". The record is from RNAcentral. Lineage: Bacteria; Pseudomonadati; Bacteroidota.
AUAUCCUAAAUGGGCAUUGAACUGCCACCUGUAUGUGGUCACCUGGGUGGCAGGGAGUCAGUGGUGAAACCGACUGAAAA